RNAcentral lists this ribosomal RNA (261 nucleotides) under uncultured bacterium. RNAcentral's name for it is "partial 16S ribosomal RNA". It matches the Rfam family "Bacterial small subunit ribosomal RNA", at positions 92 to 354 of the family's 1533-position model. The record is from RNAcentral.
CGACCGGCGGACGGGUGCGUAACGCGUAUGUAACCUACCUUUGACAGGGGGAUAACAUCGAGAAAUUGGUACUAAUACCCCAUAACAUCACCGGAGGCAUCUUCGGUGGUUGAAAACUCAGGUGGUCAGAGAUGGACAUGCGUUGUAUUAGCUAGUUGGUGAGGUAACGGCUCACCAAGGCGACGAUACAUAGGGGGACUGAGAGGUUGACCGGCCACAUUGGGACUGAGAUACGGCCCAGACUCCUACGGAAGGCAGCAG